This is a long non-coding RNA of Rana temporaria (common frog), 360 nucleotides long. RefSeq lists it as uncharacterized. The transcript is spliced from 3 exons. The record is from RefSeq and is a predicted model, not a curated record. Lineage: Eukaryota; Metazoa; Chordata; Amphibia; Anura; Ranidae.
CUCAGUGAUAAUUUUUUUCACCUUAACCCAGGCAACCUCCACCCCGUGCCGAUUUACUCUGUUUUUAGCUAGGUCAUUAUAUGUCCUCUGUGGCUACUCUUUAAGCCCUUGCCAUUUUCGGGCACCUGCAUGCCCCCUCGCUGGGCAGUGGUCAUCAGUGGAGGGUUCUCUCUGGUUGGUAUCGUGAAAUUCUUCUGUUCUGCCCGUAUGUCUCCUGAUGAAGCAAAUAUGCAAAACAUGUCGGGACCUAUAUGUGUAACUGUAUAUUGAAUUGAUCCAGUCUUGUACCUUUCGCAAUUGUCGGCCACCCAGCUACUGUUUAGCUAUGCUGUGAUUGUCACUACAAAGUUGACUUUUUUA